RNAcentral lists this ribosomal RNA (214 nucleotides) under uncultured bacterium. RNAcentral describes it as "partial 16S ribosomal RNA". It matches the Rfam family "Bacterial small subunit ribosomal RNA", at positions 28 to 220 of the family's 1533-position model. The record is from RNAcentral.
GACGAGCGCUGGUGGCGUGCCUAAUACAUGCAAGUCGAACGAACUCUGGUAUUGAUUGGUGCUUGCAUCAUGAUUUACAUUUGAGUGAGUGGCGAACUGGUGAGUAACACGUGGGAAACCUGCCCAGAAGCGGGGGAUAACACCUGGAAGCAGAUGCUAAUACCGCAUAACAACUUGGACCGCAUGGUCCGAGUUUGAAAGAUGGCUUCGGCUA